GGCGUACGGGUGCGUAACAUGUGUGCAACCUACCCUUAUCAAGGGGAUAGCCAUUCGAAAGGAUGAUUAAUACCCUAUAAUAUAUCAGGUGGCAUCAUUUGAUAUUGAAAGCUACGGUGGAUAAGGAUGGGCACGCACAAGAUUAGCUAGUUGGUAAGGUAACGGCUUACCAAGGCGAUGAUCUUUAGGGGUCCUGAGAGGGAGAUCCCCCACACUGGGACUGAGACACGGCCCAGACUCC
This 241-nucleotide ribosomal RNA is filed under the name uncultured Bacteroidota bacterium. Its description in RNAcentral is "uncultured Bacteroidetes bacterium partial 16S ribosomal RNA". It matches the Rfam family "Bacterial small subunit ribosomal RNA", at positions 97 to 339 of the family's 1533-position model. Lineage: Bacteria; Pseudomonadati; Bacteroidota. The record is from RNAcentral.